This is a long non-coding RNA of Carya illinoinensis, 757 nucleotides long. RefSeq lists it as uncharacterized. The transcript has 6 exons. The record is from RefSeq and is a predicted model, not a curated record. Lineage: Eukaryota; Viridiplantae; Streptophyta; Magnoliopsida; Fagales; Juglandaceae.
GAUACAACAACCAUGCAAACCACUCUCACUCACCUCCUAAUGCUCUCUCUCUCUCUCUCUCUCUCUCUCUCUCUCUCUCUCUCUCUCUCUCUCUCCCGUGCAAUUUUGGAGAAGACUUGGUGUCGUGCAUUCGUGAAGCCAUCUUCGUCAAACACCAACACUGAGCAACGUCGAUACCUCCGCCACCAUGACGUGCACCUCCACCAUCAAAGGUCGUUGCAAGUUGACUCUCCCCUCACUACCCAAGAAAUUUACAAGUACCCUUAGAGAUCUCAGUGGUUAACAUUAUCGCCGGACUUCCUAUUAAACAUGGGCCGUGAUACAUCACUAAUAAUUGAGGGUUUUGUGUGUUGCUGUCAUGACUCAUCCUUGUCCUACCGUGAAAUUCCCUCACCGACAUUAUCGCUAACUCCCCAAAAUAGUUUGGUUCCGCUUUUUAAUUUUACGGGCCACGCACACGAGCUUAGGGGUGAAUUAUUAUAAAGCUGUACGAGUUGAUAGGUAAUUGUUGGGUGGAGAUUUCUUGGCCGUGCAGGGGUUUAAAUGUUGAUAGUCUGAGGCGGUGGCUUUUCAGGUGUAUUUUAUGUUGGACAUUGGAUUAAAAAGGGGCUGGUUUAGGGUUUAAUUAAAUAGGCUAGUGGCAUAUUUGUUUGGAUUACUAAUGGAUUGGAAAAUUUUUAUUGCUUAGGUUGUGGUACUGUUAGAGGUUGGACUCAUGACUAAGAUAACAUGUUGUAAGAGUAACGGGAUUCCAAUA